GCCUUCUUAGCUCAGGGGCAGAGCGCUGCUCUCGUACUUUUACCGGGAGGAAAGCAGAGGUCGUCAGUUCAAUUCUGGCAGCAGGCA
Molecule: non-coding RNA, 87 nt
Organism: Coemansia sp. RSA 1836
Lineage: Eukaryota; Fungi; Kickxellomycota; Kickxellomycetes; Kickxellales; Kickxellaceae
Source: the annotation of a GenBank genome assembly